AAAAAAAGAGUUGGGUUAUUGGAUAUUUGAUUAUAAAAAUGGAUAUGGAUUUUUUUAGGAAUAAUCCAAUAUCAGUUUGAACAUCAAUUUAAUUAAUAAUAACAAAUCAGCAAAAAACCAAAAAAACAAAUUAAUCUAUAAUUCACUUAAAAUUACUUGGAUACCAACUCUAACAUUCAUUUGGAAAUUAAAAUCGAUUAGAGUUUGAAUCAUUAGUAAAAUAAACAAUUAAGAUUAAAUUGACAAUUGGAAUUAAACUUAAUUCGAAAUUAAAAUCAAAUUGAAAGUUUAAAAAAGUCAAAUAAUAAAAAUCCAUUUUAUAAUAAAAAAAC
Molecule: long non-coding RNA, 332 nt
Filed under: Lathyrus oleraceus (garden pea)
Lineage: Eukaryota; Viridiplantae; Streptophyta; Magnoliopsida; Fabales; Fabaceae
Description: Pisum sativum (pea) long non-coding RNA (PSAT_LNC038145)
Source: RNAcentral